CACAACAGCAGGAACAGAAGGGCCCGGUGCCAGCAUAGACAGGCUCUGCUGUGAGACACAGGUGCUCCCAGGAUCCUCCUACAGUGCCACCUCUGGAAAUCCCUGUUCUCUGAUCAAACAGAGACCACUGAGGGGGUGAAAAGGAGACAGACAGAGAGCUGCUGCUUUUUACAAUAAACUCUGUAUUGUGCACAUGAAGACCUGGAGAUGUGCCGACUUCCUGUCCCCAAAGCCAAUCUUCCCCGCCAAGGCGACUGAGGAUUUCAAGGGCUCAGAGUUACUGCAGGAAUCCAGGUGACACCAGGAAGAGAAGGGGGAGGAGGGGAAUCGGAGGGGAUGGGUUUAAAAGGCAGAGGGGAGGCAAGAAGGGAGGGGGAUCGAAGGAAAUGAGGAGGAGGGAGACUGAGGGGGCUGCCUUUCCUUGGGGACUGGGGAACUCAUGCCCUGCCCCCACCCGCAGGGCUCCAGGGGUGAGAGAAAGGGGUGGAGAAUAAAGAAUUGGGCAGCAGGGUGAUGGGGGGAACAGCAGCUGGGGUAUUUAGGUCAGGGGGAGUCGGGGGCAGAACCGAUGAAUGGACGGGCUCAGAAGGGAGAAGAUACAAGGAAUGAGAGCAAGAGAAACGGGGAACUGGGCAACGGGGUGACGGGGAGAACAGCACCUGGGUAUCCUAAGACACAGAGGCUAUCUAUACCUUGCUAGGGACCAGGAUGUGAGGAGAGGAGGGAGGAUUUAGGGCUGGGGGACUGGGGUGCAGGAUGGAUGAAGGAACGGGGUCAAAAGGGGAGGACGUCUAAGGAAUGAGAGCAAGAGAUGCAGCAGGGAGUUAGAUCAGGAGAGGGCAGGAGAUGGGAUGGGGCUGCAGGCUGCCUCCAGGUUCAAAGUAAGAAACAGGCAGUAGGGAAUUGAGAGAAAAUAAGAACCAGGGCCAGAGACCAGGUGAAGGACGUGAGGAUUGGAGGAUCCGAGAGAGGCAAUGGCAACACGAGGGCUGAGACGGGAGGGCAGAGUAGGACCGAGAAUUGACCAAGUCUAUGUGGUUUUCACAACAACGGCGUGAGCUAUCAUACAGGAAUGCUGUACCCGUUUUGCAGGUGAGGAAACUGAGGCUCGUUACUGACUUGCCCAAGAUUCCACAGUGGAAGAGCCUGGACGUGAACUGCGUCUCCAGGUGGGUUUCAGCCAAGUUGGAAGGAGAAGGAUGGGAUUUGGGGGAACAGUCUCAUCUUGCCCAAGAACAGCAGGAGCCUGGGCUGCCCGCGUCCUGGGGCCACCUCUUGAAAUGGACGCAAUGCAGACCCUUGUGUCCGGGGCAGGGCGGAGGGGGUGGUGAAGGGGCCCCGCAGGGCUCACACUGAGGACGAGGUCAUCUCGGGUCUCUUGAUGUGCACCUGUCAGAGUCACAGUGAGGGACGGGAACGCGGAGCCACUGGUUUGGGCUGACAGGGAGGUCACUGCUGAUCCGAGCCCAGCCCCCUCCCUGCCCUGGUGGGGGUCGGGGAGGGAUUCUGGAAUGGAGGCUGGGAGAGUUCCUUGGGGUCCCCCUCUUUAGCCCCUCACCUUCAUAGUGGUGUCCACGUUCUCCAAGGCCACAUAGAAAUUUGUAUCCUUGU
Molecule: long non-coding RNA, 1611 nt
Filed under: Homo sapiens (human)
Lineage: Eukaryota; Metazoa; Chordata; Mammalia; Primates; Hominidae
Description: PREDICTED lncRNA (TCONS_00245871)
Source: RNAcentral